UACAGAGGGUGCGAGCGUUAAUCGGAGUUACUGGGCGUAAAGGGUGCGUAGGCGGUGAUACAAGUGAGGUGUGAAAUCCCUGGGCUCAACCUAGGAAUUGCACUUCAAACUGUAUUGCUAGAGUGCAGUAGAGGGUGGUGGAAUUUCCGGUGUAGCGGUGAAAUGCGUAGAGAUCGGAAGGAACAUCAGUGGCGAAGGCGGCCACCUGGACUGUAACUGACGCUGAGGCACGAGAGCGUGGGGAGCAAACAGG
RNAcentral lists this ribosomal RNA (253 nucleotides) under uncultured bacterium. RNAcentral describes it as "partial 16S ribosomal RNA". It matches the Rfam family "Bacterial small subunit ribosomal RNA", at positions 524 to 776 of the family's 1533-position model. The record is from RNAcentral.